Molecule: unclassified non-coding RNA, 347 nt
Filed under: soil metagenome
Description: partial contains 5.8S ribosomal RNA, internal transcribed spacer 2, and large subunit ribosomal RNA
Rfam family: 5.8S ribosomal RNA (bases 1-120)
Source: RNAcentral
GAUGAAGAACGUAGCGAAAUGCGAUAAGUAAUGUGAAUUGCAGAAUUCAGUGAAUCAUCGAAUCUUUGAACGCACAUUGCGCCCGCCAGUAUUCUGGCGGGCAUGCCUGUCCGAGCGUCAUUUCAACCCUCAGGCCCUGGUUGCCUGGUGUUGGGGCGCCGCGCACCCUCUGCGGGCGCGGGCCCCGAAAGUCAGUGGCGGGCUCGCCAGGACUCCGAGCGCAGUAAUUUUCUCUCGCUGUGGAGCGCCUGGUGGGUUACCAGACGUAAAACACCCCAAAUUCUAAAGGUUGACCUCGGAUCAGGUAGGAAUACCCGCUGAACUUAAGCAUAUCAAUAAGCGGAGGA